AUGCCGCGGUGAAUCCGUUCCCGGGCCUUGUACACACCGCCCGUCACACCACGAGAGUGAGCAACACCCGAAGUCGGUGGGGCAACCGGUUUGGAGCCAGCCGCCGAAGGUGGGGCUCGCGAUUGGGGUGAAGUCGUAACAAGGUAGCCGUAUCGGAAGGUGCGGCUGGAUCACCUCCUUUCU
Molecule: ribosomal RNA, 183 nt
Filed under: Paenalicyclobacillus herbarius
Lineage: Bacteria; Bacillati; Bacillota; Bacilli; Caryophanales; Alicyclobacillaceae
Description: Alicyclobacillus herbarius partial 16S ribosomal RNA
Rfam family: Bacterial small subunit ribosomal RNA
Source: RNAcentral